GUAAAACUUGCUUUUGACUUUACCUUUUUUUUUGCAAUUAAAUAUUGGUCACAUGAUGCUUGCUUUUCAGAAUGAUUAGGAUAAUAUUGUUCUUCACUGGAAUAACUUAUGGGGAUGCAGGAUAUUGUUCCAUGGCAAUGAUUUGUUAUCCUAGCACCCAACAAAUUAAAAUAUGUGACGAUACAAUAGAUGGCAGUGUUUAUAAUGAUAUUGACCAAGCAUACUUAGACAUUGUUAUUAUGAAAAAUACUCGUGUUACUAAAAAACCGGACCUGAUCGUAUUUGUCCAGAACAGCGCUGACGUACAGAAAGCCAUAUUUUUUGACGGAGAGUAUAAUCUUAAAGUAGUGGUACAGUCAUCUGGACAUGACUUUCAAGGUCGUUCAACAGCUGACGACAGUUGUAUGAUAUAUUUAG
RNAcentral lists this long non-coding RNA (417 nucleotides) under Mytilus galloprovincialis (Mediterranean mussel). The record is from RNAcentral. Lineage: Eukaryota; Metazoa; Mollusca; Bivalvia; Mytilida; Mytilidae.